RNAcentral lists this long non-coding RNA (1667 nucleotides) under Nicotiana tabacum (common tobacco). RNAcentral's name for it is "long non-coding RNA (NTAB_LNC006317)". Lineage: Eukaryota; Viridiplantae; Streptophyta; Magnoliopsida; Solanales; Solanaceae. The record is from RNAcentral.
CCAAAUAUUUACAAACAAGAAAUUAUACUCAAGGAAAUAUAUGAUUACAGACAUAGCCACCAAAAUCAUUACAUUACAUGUUAAAUGAACUAUUAGUUACAAUGGUAGCCACUCUAGUCUUAGAGCCUAAUUUACUAUACAGUCACAUUAGCUCUUUAUAUAAUGGCCACUCUUAAGUUAACGAUCACAUCCAUCUUCAAUUGCAACCAGGCUUGCAAAGGAAUAGCCACGAAGCUAUCCUUACAAGCCCAUCCACUCAAAGCAGUCUCUUUUGCAAGCUAGCACCAACAAGAAUGAAUUAAACUGCAAAUUUAAGGCAAAUAAAGAUUGUAUUAGAAAGUUUAAACAUUGAUUCCUUGCUUCAAAUGUGCAGAUCUAACCAAUCAGUGGUCAGAGCCUAAACAACUUACACGUAUGCAUAGACUUCAAUCAAGGCUAAAAUUCAAACCUCUAACGUGAUACUGAAUAUAGAAACACUUGGCAGUAAUUUCAACACCUAUUUAACGAUAUAUAGAUCCAGACAUUCAUCAACAUAUUACGAAUUUAACACUUAUCAGCGGAUAUUCAAGUAGACAUUGCACUAUCAAAUUAUUCUUCAUUCACAAAAGUAAGCUGACUAUACAUUAAGUGGGAAAGAGUACCAUAAAAUGCAGAACACAAAUGAAAAUAACAGCCAGAUGUGAAGGCUAAUAGGAAUGGGGAUCAGCAACAACAAGAACAGUAGAAAACUUCAGCUUAAAAACCUCAGAAUAACCAGUAAUUUGACCCAGUGAAAUCAGCAAACCAUACUCACAAGACAAUUAGCUUUCUCUAAUUUUUCUUUUGUAGCUUUCAAUAUCUUAAAGAAAGAAUUUUAUUGAGCUAUUGAUUUCUGCUUUUCCUUAUUUUUUUCAGAGAAUUGUGACUGCUAAGAACUCUCAAAAAACCUAUGUUAUUUGAGAAUCCUUUUAUGCCCCAGAAAAAUCUCUCAAGAGGAAUCCUAAGUUCAGUAAACUAAUCGACUAAGAAUAGCUUCCUCUUAAUUUUUCUUUAUUCCCCUUUUUAUCCUCAAAUUAGAGAAUCCUAUGUGUACUAGCCAAUUAGGAUGUCCCAGGCUCCUUCCUAGCAAUUUCCUUUUUCUCCCUGAAAUCCUUAAGCCGUAUCUUGUAUGAGCUUAAGAGGAUCAAAGGACAGGCAGGAGAUUGAUCUCUAAAAGUCAAAGCUCAACCAAAAUACAAUAGGGCCUGUCUGAAAGAUUUAAUAUGAGCCCAUAUGUUUAAAAUGGAACGGGCCAUGUAAUUAUCAACUAAGCUAAACACUUAAUUAUGAUAUAAUCGAAACUCUAGUUGACUAAACAUGUAAUUCAAACAAGAAAUAAAAUGGAACAUAAGCUAAUUGAAAUUAAAAAAUGAAAUGGAGAAGAAGGGGGGCAGGCUUAAAUCCAUCACAAGGAGUGAAUUCCACAUGACCAGUGGCUGUGAUUUUAUUAUCCGGCAAGUGGUAUAUGCAGCAAUGACCCUAUAAGUCCGUAAAGAGAAAGAAAAGGUCAAUUUUGACCGGAGAGAGUCUGAUUACCGGAAUAAGGAUGAAACCAACGGGGAAGUGUAUAUCAUGAAGAGACCUACCCGUAUAUAUAGGUAGGUUUACGAAUUUAAAGAAGAAGGGGAGGUUAGGAUUUCUGUAACGAC